Molecule: long non-coding RNA, 911 nt
Organism: Brassica napus (rape)
Lineage: Eukaryota; Viridiplantae; Streptophyta; Magnoliopsida; Brassicales; Brassicaceae
Exons: 3
Source: RefSeq, a predicted model, not a curated record
AAACGAAGCUUUCUUUAGACGCUUCCAGGGAUUGGGGUCCCACCAAAAACUCAAGCAUAGCUGUGUCUGCCUGCGAAGAGCAUCAUUAUCCCUGGAGUGUCUUUUAAGGGUGUAUCUUAGCCUAAUUGAAAUUAAAAAAAAAAUGAAAAAUACAUCAAUAAGAGAGACAAUACGUCUCUUAAUCAAGGGAAGCAAGCAAGGGACGUCUCUUGUGGAACAGCUGUCCAAAAAUGAGUGGGGGAGGAGAGGUUUGGUGUUUCAACGCUUUCAGCUUCUCUCUCUCCCGAUUCCUCUAUCAAUCGAUUCAGGAACUAUUGCAAUGAUCCAGAAGCAGAUGGGUUGAAGGCAUCACAAGAUGGAGACAGAUAUGGAGAAUUCCGAGGAACUCAAAAAGUACAUCUUGGAGACGACGGCAUAUCCAAGAGAGCAUGGAGAGCUCAAGAAGCUACGAGAAGCUACGGUCCACAAGUAUGGCAAUUUGUAAGUCUGGCUAUACAAACUCCCUUCUCCAUGGAAUGCAGAGUUUUCAAUCUCCCAGAGCAGCAGUUUUUGGCAUACGUCACAAACGCAAGAAACUCUGGCCAAAACUCUGUUUCAACAGCGACCGUAUCCAUCACCAAACUCUCAUUUCACGGAAAUCACAAAGAGAGGCGAUGGAAAAGAUGGUCUUGGUGAUGCAGAUUGAGAAAGAGAGAGACUUAUUCUUGCCCUGUAUGUUUGCUUUUCUUCAUAUACAUGUAUGACCUUGAGAGUAGUUUGUUUACUGGUCUGGUCUAGUGAAAACACGUAACCAUACUUUAAAUGUGAAUUAGCAUGUAAAAUGUUCUCAGUGUUGAAAAUGAUGGUUGAACAAAAGGUAUAUAUGUUUAUUUGCAUGUAAAUGUUCUCAGUGUAGUGUUUGUUGUUGAUCA